GGUUAAGUGGUAUUUACACUUUAAGAUGAAAAUGAUUGGGUAAAGGGUCUGAGCAAAACAUCAUCUUAGUCUAAACAAGCAAUGUGCCAAUGCUCUCUGUUCUACUUAGAAUCUUUAUUGACCAGAUCUGUAAAUAUUACACAUAUCAUCUGAGUACACACAGAGGCAUACACAGAGGGAAAGAAACUAUUUGUGAACUUUGUGAAUAAGACAGUGCAUCAGUACCUCAGGCGGCUUCUUUGUCUCUCAGAGUACCUCAAACCUCAUUGCACCUUAAAGCACCCUUCCAGUGUGGUGACACACAGCAUCAGGGGCCACCA
Molecule: long non-coding RNA, 320 nt
Organism: Corapipo altera (White-ruffed manakin)
Lineage: Eukaryota; Metazoa; Chordata; Aves; Passeriformes; Pipridae
Exons: 3
Source: RefSeq, a predicted model, not a curated record